UUUUUGAAAAUAAUAAAAAGUNUAAUCUGCCCACUGAAUUUAUUUAAAGGGCUGCAGUAUAUUGACUGUACAAAGGUAGCAUAAUCAAUAGUCUUUUAAUUGAAGACUUGUAUGAAUGAUUUGAUGAAAUAUGAACUGUCUCUUUUUUAAAAAUAAAAUUUAAUUUUUUAGUUAAAAAGCUAAAAUAAUUAUAAAAGACGAGAAGACCCUAUAGAGUUUUAUAGUUAUUUAAUUUAAAAAUUUUAUAUAUAAUUUAAAUUUAAAAUUAAUUAAUUAUUUUAUUGGGGUGAUAGAAAAAUUAAAAAAACUUUUUUUAAAAAUUUAACAUUAAUUUAUGAAAUUAUGAUCCAUAAUUUAUGAUUAAAAGAAUCAAUUACCUUAGGGAUAACAGCGUAAUUUUUUUUUUUAGUACAAAUAAGAAAAAGAGUUUGCGACCUCGAUGUUGGAUUAAGAUAAAAUUUAAAUGCAAAAGUUUAAAAUUUUUGAUCUGUUCGAUCAUUAAAAUCUUACAUGAUCUGA
This is a ribosomal RNA of 519 nucleotides. The stretch from base 384 to 519 matches the Rfam family "Bacterial large subunit ribosomal RNA", at positions 2473 to 2608 of the family's 2925-position model.